Molecule: long non-coding RNA, 734 nt
Filed under: Heterocephalus glaber (naked mole-rat)
Lineage: Eukaryota; Metazoa; Chordata; Mammalia; Rodentia; Bathyergidae
Description: lncRNA (ENSHGLG00000037246.1)
Source: RNAcentral
UUUCAAAACCGACAGUGGAAAAUGCCUAACCCGUUUCUCCGCCUAAGAUCAUUCUUGAAGUUUUGGAUCCCCUGCAGAGCACAGCAAGGCUCCGGACUUUGUCCAGCGAGGAGUGACAGGUCUCGGGCCUCUUCCGUCCGCGGGAGGAAGCGGGGCUCCAGGCGGUGCGAGGACUGCGUGUGCCUUCCCCACACCCGCCCUCUGGGGACCUUGCCCCACAGCUUGGCUUUCCAGAGCUUUCUAGCCUACGGGGUCCCAGGGUCGGGACUGCAGGAGAGCCAGCUGGGACCUGACUGCAUCUGAAUCCCGCUGGGACCUGUUGGACCGCGCUUGUGUCGACGCAGUUCCACUCCCUUCACGCCAGGGGCGGCCUACGCGUCCCGAUGUAGAUCACUGCGUGCGUGCACGGAGGUGAAAUGUUUGAAAAAGCAGUUUCAGACUCUUCUUUGAAGAAGGAAGCAAAUGCCUAUGGUGACGAUGUUGAAGGGAGAAUGUUUCAUCCCGGGAUGUCCUACGCCUACUUACCGAUGGCUGUCUGAUCUCGGUUGACUGCAGGUCAUUAAAGCCCUGGAAAUGAAAGCAUCGACACAGGGGACAACUGCUCUUCCACUGCCACCAACCUGGUCCAAAUGAAGUCACCACCCCAGAGAACUGCCCUGACAGUCUCCCAGCUGGUCUUGCUUCUUCCUGCUGGCCCUUCCCAGUCUCCUCUCAGGAGAGCAGCUCCUGCGGUC